This 179-nucleotide non-coding RNA is filed under the name Chromera velia. Lineage: Eukaryota; Chromeraceae. The record is from RNAcentral.
GGACUGAAAGAAAGAAAUAAAGAUUGGUUGGCUGACAUCAGAACCCAUGCAAGCAAACGACACAGCUAGAAUGGGGAGAGAGAGAGCUUAAUUCGUUCGUUCGUUCUUCCGUGUCGUUGCUGUUUGUCCCCUUUUUCUCUUUUUUACCCUUCUCUGUCCUUUUCUCUUUCUUCUUAUCU